AUUUAAAGUAUUAUACUGUCCUUUUUUAAACCUCCUUUUUCAAAUUUCUGUUAUUCAUUUCGCAGGCAAAUAAAAUUCUCAUUGAAGAAUAUCCCAAAAUGGAGGGGGAGGAAGGGUGGUUUUUCUACAAGUCUUCAGGACUGGCGAAGUGAGGUCCAGGUUCUUUCUGUCACAAACUCACCACUUGUGCGCCCUAACAGAGAGUCCAGAGAUUGUGGCCAGGAUAGAAAGGAAUGCCCUAUAUGUUGUGGCUGCUUUCCAUCAGAUGAAAUUGUUCUGCAUGCAAGCCUGUGUGGUGAAAGGUUUGCCAUUCUAUCAUGUCUACAGGACAAUUUGAACUACAAUACAGACAGCUGUGUGCUACGCGAGGGAAGCUUAUCUAUGGCCGACAUGUCUAGUGACGAUGAUGUACUCCAGUGGCUUGCAAGCCAAGUAGAUGCAAGCAAAGAUUUUAAGAUCUGCAUCACGCGGGACAACCUUUUCCAAAGAGGCCUAAUUCAGUGACUGAGACAGAAGAAGGGCUCACCUGUCAACAAACUCAAUGUGACUUUCAUUGGCGAAGCUGGAAUCGACACUGGAGCAUUAAGCAAAGAAUUUUUGACUGAAAUGAUGCAUUGAGAGGCGACUGUCUGAGGGCAGUGGCAAGAAGGGAAAGAGUCCUGUCUACUCGAUUGGUGACCUAGAAAAUGGUUUCUACAGGUGGAGGAAGCAACUGAUCUGACACAGUUCACAGAUGAAAUCAUGAGUUGUGGUUACAUGGGUUUGCUUAAGUUGGACCAAAAGGACAGUAACAUAAGAGCCAUUGUUCUGCACGUUACAAUGCGUCUGAAUCCCAUGCUUCAGCAAAUUAGAAAUGGGUUGAAGGUCUACAACCUUCUGGAUGUGAUUGGGAAGCAUCAAACUCUCUGCUCAAAGCUGUUUGUCCCCAAAAAGGAUGAUGAAAGAGGCAGAAUGAAGACCAGCAAAUGUGUGAGCCUCUGACCCAAUAGGAGCUGCUAAGUCAAGAAGAGCACUGGAGUCAACAAACACACGUGAGCCUGUCUGUCCCGACAGUGAUGAAGUGGUUAACUGGACAAAGGCACAAGCCCCUUCUUCCAUCAGAGAGGGCAGAUUUUGAAAUAAAUCUAAGAUUUGAACACCACUGUAAUGAAAAAAUGCCAGGUCACAACAUUUGUUUCCCACUUGUAAGUGCCUGCACAAAUACAAUAACUGUUCCUGUUGAACAUCUGAAAACAUACAAGGAGUUCAGAGAUAUAAUGACAGUAGCAAUCAGAAUGGGUAGAGAUUUUGGGCUAGUGUAGAGGUCUUGUUUUUUGAUCACUGAUGUUUACUUCCCCAAAUCAGGCAGUAUUGUGAAUAUUUUUGGCAUUUCUAAUGGCAUUUCUUAAAUCUGUUCAGUGAGCUGUUUAUUAUUCUGUGAGAGUCUUAACACACAAAAAAAGACCGCUAGCACAAGUCGAACCAUAAAAAUAGCUCAAUGUUAGUGUUUGGUUUUCCCAUUGCAUUUUUUUUUUUAAGUUGGGACCACUGCUAACCAUUUAUUUGAAAAAGGUAAUUUAAGAACUCUGUAUUUGCAUUUUGUUUACAGAGCACUGACAAUUUUUCAUGUAAUAUAAACCUUGAAAUGUGAUGCUGUUCCUCAAUUCAUCGUUACUUGUACUAUUGAAAAGUUGAAAUUGUUCAGUCUUCCACAUACACAGUUUCAACACGUGUAUAGCAAAUUCAUGUCAUUCAAGUGAAAUCAACGUUGUGGGGGUUUACAUUUACUAAAUUGUCAGCAAAAAUUAACUUGGUUGAUGUCAAAACAAUAAAUGGACAUAAUGCCUAUG
Carassius gibelio (silver crucian carp) is the source of this 1829-nucleotide long non-coding RNA. RefSeq lists it as uncharacterized. The record is from RefSeq and is a predicted model, not a curated record. The transcript has 9 exons. Lineage: Eukaryota; Metazoa; Chordata; Actinopteri; Cypriniformes; Cyprinidae.